UACGUAGGGUGCAAGCGUUGUCCGGAAUUAUUGGGCGUAAAGAGCGUGUAGGCGGUCCGGUAAGUCAGCUGUGAAAGUCAAGGGCUCAACCCUUGAAAGCCGGUUGAUACUGUCGGGCUAGAGUCCGGAAGAGGCGAGUGGAAUUCCCGGUGUAGCGGUGAAAUGCGCAGAUAUCGGGAGGAACACCAAUGGCGAAGGCAGCUCGCUGGGACGGUACUGACGCUGAGACGCGAAAGCGUGGGGAGCGAACAGG
RNAcentral lists this ribosomal RNA (253 nucleotides) under uncultured bacterium. Its description in RNAcentral is "partial 16S ribosomal RNA". It matches the Rfam family "Bacterial small subunit ribosomal RNA", at positions 524 to 776 of the family's 1533-position model. The record is from RNAcentral.